GUGGGAAUCCGCGUGAUUCGAUUUUGGUUGGGCAAGAAAAACAAAUUUUUAAUAAUAAAAAAAAAAUCUGAAGUUUGACUGAAGAAGAAUUUUAAUAAGAAAAUUCAAAAAAAUGUAACAAAAUAAGAUUGGUAAACGCUCCUUUCUCUUCCUUCUUCUCUUCCUCUUCCUCUGUUUUGUGCGUUUCCUCAACUCAAUACACAAGAAGAGAAACUGAGUUUUUUGCCUUAUAUGUGUGAAAUUGGAAGACAAUACUAUGAGUAGGCACUCAGUUGCAGGUGCUUCUCGCACUUCCUUCCUUCAAAGGAUCAAGGUCUCGUUUCGUUUCUCUUUAUUACGAUUGCUUGAUUUUUCUUCAUCAUAAUCAAUCAAUCAAUCAAUCUUUCUGUCGUUCUUCUUGUUGUUGCAGAAUCCAUGCCUCAAUCCAUCUUCCUCUGACUCUGGAAAAGGGAGAAGUAAAUCGUCAAGUAAAAAGAUGUCUCAUGGGUUUCAGUUGGUGGAAGGAAAAUCCGGCCAUGAUAUGGAAGACUAUCAUGUCGCUGAGUAUCGUAAAAUCAAGAAUCACGAGCUUGGAUUAUUCGCUAUCUUUGAUGGUCAUCUUGGGGAUCGAGUUCCUAGUUAUUUGAAAGACAAACUUUUCCUCAACAUACUUGAAGAGUCCAAUUUCUGGAUUGACCCUAAAACCGCAAUUAAGAAUGCAUAUAGAAACACUGAUAAGUUUAUAUUGGAGAAUUCAAUGCAAUUGGGUCCUGGUGGCUCUACUGCUGUUACUGCUAUUGUCAUUGAUGGCAAAGACUUAUGGGUCGCCAAUAUUGGUGAUUCUAGAGCUGUUGUCUGCGAGAGAGGCUGUGCCAAUCAGCUUACUGUGGACCAUGAACCGUACACAGAACGGAAAAGGAUUGAGAAGCAGGGUGGCUUCGUCACAACUCUUCCAGGAGAUGUGCCUAGGGUUAAUGGCCAACUUGCGGUUGCCCGAGCUUUUGGAGAUCAAAGUCUUAAAGCCCAUUUAAGUUCAGAGCCUGAUGUAAGACAUGUGCCCAUAGACUCAACUAUAGAGUUUGUUAUAUUGGCCAGUGAUGGUUUAUGGAAGGUCAUGCAGAAUCAAGAGGCAGUUGAUUUGGUGAAACCCAUCAAGGAUCCACAAGCUGCUGCCAAGCGCUUAACGACUGAGGCAUUGGCAAGAAAGAGUAAGGAUGAUAUAUCAUGCAUUGUGAUCCGUUUUGGUUGAGUAUGCUUAAAUAGCACAUUGCUAUUACCAAAGUGAAUGACCAUGGUUAGUGUCGUCCCUUUCAAUUAUGAGCUGGUUGGGUGUGUUUAAAGCUGGAAAUAGGGGACUAUAUGUGGGUCUCAGAGCUUUGAUUUGUGUAGUUUUUUUGUUAGAAAUUUUCAUGCUAGAGCAAAGUUAAGAUGGAAGUGAUGAAGCAUUUUAUAUUUGACCAAGGGAAGAGAUACCCUCAUUAAUCCAUGGCUAAUGGGCCAUCUCCUUACACAGGUGUGUCGAUAUAGAUGAUAACUGGGUUGGAGUGCAGAUAAUGGGGUUAAUUCUUUCAUUGGACAAAUUAUAGGGUUUAGAUUCUAAUUGUGUGUAUAGUUUGUGGACAUAAUACGGUACUGUUACUCUCUCUGUCUCUUGUAAUAUAUGUAGUGGUGGUUGUCUUGUCUUGUGGUUAUGCAUAGGCUGUGUCAUUAAGUGCUUGCUAGUUGCUACUUGGCCAAUGCAGUCUUGUUAUUUCACCUCUUGGGGUUUUAUAGUAACGCCACUAAAUAAAAUGAUGCAUGCUUGCAUGGCAUUUGACUUAUUUAAUAGAUGUUAAU
RNAcentral lists this unclassified non-coding RNA (1815 nucleotides) under Hevea brasiliensis (rubber tree). The record is from RNAcentral. Lineage: Eukaryota; Viridiplantae; Streptophyta; Magnoliopsida; Malpighiales; Euphorbiaceae.